UGGGGAAUAUUGCACAAUGGGCGCAAGCCUGAUGCAGCGACGCCGCGUGAAGGAUGAAGUAUUUCGGUAUGUAAACUUCUAUCAGCAGGGAAGAAAAUGACGGUACCUGACUAAGAAGCCCCGGCUAACUACGUGCCAGCAGCCGCGGUAAUACGUAGGGGGCAAGCGUUAUCCGGAUUUAUUGGGUUUAAAGGGUGCGCAGGCGGCGUGCCAAGUCAGCGGUCAAAGUUCCGGGCUCAAACCCGGUGAUGCCGUUGAAACUGGUGUGCUUGAGUGCGUGCGAGGGAGGCGGAAUGCGUUGUGUAGCGGUGAAAUGCAUAGAUAUGACGCAGAACUCCGAUUGCGAAGGCAGCUUUCCAGCACGCCACUGACGCUGAGGCACGAAAGCGUGGGAAUCGAACAGGAUUAGAUACCCUGGUAGU
Molecule: ribosomal RNA, 422 nt
Filed under: uncultured Lachnospiraceae bacterium
Lineage: Bacteria; Bacillati; Bacillota; Clostridia; Lachnospirales; Lachnospiraceae
Description: bacterial SSU rRNA
Rfam family: Bacterial small subunit ribosomal RNA
Source: RNAcentral